RNAcentral lists this long non-coding RNA (1078 nucleotides) under Erythranthe guttata (spotted monkey flower). Its description in RNAcentral is "long non-coding RNA (EGUT_LNC002941)". The record is from RNAcentral. Lineage: Eukaryota; Viridiplantae; Streptophyta; Magnoliopsida; Lamiales; Phrymaceae.
CUAUUAAUCCUCCAUAAAAACCGGUUUUAGCAUAAAUCGUGCUGCAAAACGUCAAUUGCAAAUCCUCCCCAAAUUGUAUUUUUCCAUCGUUAAUCUCUCGAAAAACAAAACUUCUCCCUGCCCCCUUUUCUUCAAUGCAAUCUAUGUUCCCCUAUCGUUGUUCUCGAGAACGAUGUAAUCUCUAUAACUUCUGCAAAUCGCCAACAAAGAAAACACAUCCUAGAGGAUAGUGCAAAAUCGAAACGUACAGGUAAUUUGAUUUGUGAUUUUGUAAAUGUCUUUAAUGGCGAUUCAUUGACGGAAUGCAAUGGGUUAUUUUUAUAACAUAAGUGAAAGAUGCAAAUUAGAGGUUUUAACCCCAUGUAAUUUUUAUUUUUAUUUUUCGUUUUGACAUUAUUUUUUGUUUGGUUUUACUGUUCAUUUACAAUAUUUUUCCGGUUGUUUUGCGUUUUUGUUACAUCUUUAUGUUAUUUUCUGGUGUCGAUUGCAACAUAUAUUCGAUUUCGUUUUUUUUUUUUUCUAUUUGCAAUUUGUUGUUUCUAGCGUAGUGUAUUUUGCACUUUGAUAUUUAUUUUGCAUUUUGCGUUUUGCACUUUGAUGUUUUUUUUUUUCAUUUUGCAUUUUGCAUAGGUACCGACAUGGUUGUCCAAUAAUUUUUUUUUUUUCAAUUGAACAGUUGAUUUGACGAAACAGGAGAGGAAAAUAGAUGAAUUAUUUGCCUCUUCAAAAAGAGGAAAGCAACGAUGAAUCAAGCCAAAUUUAUUUGCACGAUAACACAAAGCCAUAUUAAGUUUCGACAUCGCCUCAACAAACCAGAUUGGUUGAUUGUGGGAUUUUUGUCUUGUAUAAGGCAAGGCAGUUGUGCAUGCAACAACCAUUAGUGAGAAAACUGCAGCAAGUGGGAUAUCGCACUCGAAAAACUUUUAAUUAUCAGUUCUUGAACGACGAGGAUACCGUUGAGUUUAAUUAGAUUUUUUUUUAUGAUAUUUACUUAUGUUUAGCAGAGCUUUGAUUUUUAUUUGUGGCAUUAUAUUUUUGUUGGAUUUUGAUAUGAACUAUUUUCUAAUAUAUUCCAAAU